AACAAGCUAUCGAUUUCCGCAUUGUGCAAAAGCCUGUUUCGGACGUGGCUCCUGUGGGCCAGUUGAACCGAACGCGAGGUUAAGGUGCCGGAAUACACGCUCAUCAGACACCACAAAAGGUGUUAGUUCAUCUAGACAGCCCGACGGUGGCCAUGGAAGUCGGAAUCCGCUAAGGAGUGUGUAACAACUCACGGGCCGAAUGAACUAGCCCUGAAAAUGGAUGGCGCUCAAGCGUGUUACCCAUACCUCGCCAUCGGGGUAGAAACGAUGCCCCGAUGAGUAGGCAGGCGUGGGGGUCCGUGACGAAGCCUUGGGAGUGAUCCCGGGUCGAACGGCCCCUAGUGCAGAUCUUGGUGGUAGUAGCAAAUACUCAAAUGAGAACUUUGAGGACUGAAGUGG
Molecule: non-coding RNA, 399 nt
Filed under: Aspergillus wentii DTO 134E9
Lineage: Eukaryota; Fungi; Ascomycota; Eurotiomycetes; Eurotiales; Aspergillaceae
Description: Eukaryotic large subunit ribosomal RNA
Rfam family: Eukaryotic large subunit ribosomal RNA
Source: Rfam by way of RNAcentral